This 457-nucleotide ribosomal RNA is filed under the name Deuteragonista sp. NCSU-98021426. RNAcentral's name for it is "eukaryotic LSU rRNA". It matches the Rfam family "Eukaryotic large subunit ribosomal RNA", at positions 1918 to 2304 of the family's 3401-position model. Lineage: Eukaryota; Metazoa; Arthropoda; Insecta; Diptera; Empididae. The record is from RNAcentral.
CAAAUUAGAUCCGUAACUUCGGGAUAAGGAUUGGCUCUGAAGAUUGAGAUAAUCGGGCUUGAUUGGGAAACAAUAAUAUGGUUUAUGUACUCGUUCUGGGUAAAUAGAAUUUAUUAAAAUUUAUUUUUUUAAAUUUGUUCCCCGGAUAGAAGUUUACUUAACCAAUUGUGGAACUUUCUUGCUAAUAAUAUAUUAUAAAUUGAUAAUUUUCGGAUUAUUAUAUUUUUAUAUAUUUAUAACGGUUAUCAAUUAACAAUCAAUUCAGAACUGGCACGGACUUGGGGAAUCCGACUGUCUAAUUAAAACAAAGCAUUGUGAUGGCCCUAGCGGGUGUUGACACAAUGUGAUUUCUGCCCAGUGCUCUGAAUGUCAAAGUGAAGAAAUUCAAGUAAGCGCGGGUAAACGGCGGGAGUAACUAUGACUCUCUUAAGGUAGCCAAAUGCCUCGUCAUCUAAUU